CGCAUACNAUCUUCGGGAUGAAAGCGGGGGAUCGCAAGACCUCGCGCGAUUGGAGCGGCUGAUAUCAGAUUAGGUAGUUGGUGGGGUAAAGGCUCACCAAGCCGACGAUCUGUAGCUGGUCUGAGAGGACGACCAGCCACACUGGGACUGAGACACGGCCCAGACUCCUACGGGAGGCAGCAGUGGGGAAUUUUGGACAAUGGGCGCAAGCCUGAUCCACCAUGCCGCGUGCAGGAUGAAGCCUUCGGGUUGUAAACUGCUUUUGUACGGAACGAAAAGUUUGGCCUAAUAAGCUGGACCCAUGACGGUACCGUAAGAAUAANCACCGGCUAACUACGUGCCAGCACCGCGGUAAUACGUANGGUGCGAGCGUUAAUCGGAAUUCUGGGGCGUAAAGCGUGCGCAGGCGGUUAUGUAAGACANAUGUGAAAUCCCCCGGCUCAACCUGGGAACUGCAUUAGUGACUGCAUAACUNGAGUA
Molecule: ribosomal RNA, 480 nt
Filed under: Curvibacter lanceolatus
Lineage: Bacteria; Pseudomonadati; Pseudomonadota; Betaproteobacteria; Burkholderiales; Comamonadaceae
Description: bacterial SSU rRNA
Rfam family: Bacterial small subunit ribosomal RNA
Source: RNAcentral